UCCUACGGGACGCAGCUGAGGAAUAUUGGUCAAUGGGCGGAAGCCUGAACCAGCCAAGUCGCGUGAGGGAAUAAGGCCCUACGGGUCGUAAACCUCUUUUGCCGGGGAGCAAGGGCGGGGACGUGUCCCGGCCCGGAGAGUACCCGGAGAAAAAGCAUCGGCUAACUCCGUGCCAGCAGCCGCGGUAAUACGGAGGAUGCGAGCGUUAUCCGGAUUUAUUGGGUUUAAAGGGUGCGUAGGCGGGCUUUUAAGUCAGCGGUAAAAAUUCGGGGCUCAACCCCGUCCGGUCGUUGAAACUGGGAGCC
This 305-nucleotide ribosomal RNA is filed under the name uncultured bacterium. RNAcentral's name for it is "bacterial SSU rRNA". It matches the Rfam family "Bacterial small subunit ribosomal RNA", at positions 337 to 641 of the family's 1533-position model. The record is from RNAcentral.